AGCAGGUGCUUUUCAGUAGCACCCACAUAUCACUCUGAAAACAUGAAUGAAACAGAAAAUCAGUCAGUGUCACAGGCUUGGCAUGAAGUGGUGUACUUUGAGGAAAUACUAGUUGAGACCUGCCAGCUCGAAGGGUGUUUUUGCCACAUGCAGUCCUGUCCUCAUGCAGCCUUCCUGUGAACAGCACUGCCAGCUUGGGUGGGCUACCAAGGAAACACCGAGAAUUUGUCGGACUUGAAAAGAAAGCAAACGGACUGUGAAUUUGUUAGAGGCUGCAGGUGGUUUUGAUCGGCUGAGCGGAGUCUGUGCCGGAAACAUUACGGCUCCUGAGCCUCCCGGAGGACCUCAGCAGACAGGGCUCCACAGCCACGCUGAUGACUCAUGGGCAGGAACUCUCCUCCCAGCGAGUGGCACUAGUGGGGAAAAAGUGACCUAGCCAAAAUGACUCACAGGGGAGCAAAGGCUCCAGAGCAGGGCUGCCCUGGCAGCCUGCUGACACACUUAACUCCAGCAGCUGCCACUACAGCCAGCGAGCAGAAUGAUUGCAUAACUGGUGGGAAAGCAAA
Passer domesticus (house sparrow) is the source of this 566-nucleotide long non-coding RNA. RefSeq lists it as uncharacterized. The record is from RefSeq and is a predicted model, not a curated record. Lineage: Eukaryota; Metazoa; Chordata; Aves; Passeriformes; Passeridae. The transcript has 2 exons.